This 254-nucleotide ribosomal RNA is filed under the name uncultured bacterium. Its description in RNAcentral is "partial 16S ribosomal RNA". It matches the Rfam family "Bacterial small subunit ribosomal RNA", at positions 524 to 776 of the family's 1533-position model. The record is from RNAcentral.
UACGAAGGGGGCUAGCGUUGCUCGGAAUCACUGGGCGUAAAGCGCACGUAGGCGGACUCUUAAGUCGGUGGUGAAAUCCUGGAGCUCAACUCCAGAACUGCCUCCGAUACUGCGAGUCUCCGAGUCCGGGAGAGGUGAGUGGAACUGCGAGUGUAGAGGUGAAAUUCGUAGAUAUUCGCAAGAACACCAGUGGCGAAGGCGGCUCACUGGCCCGGUACUGACGCUGAGGCACGAAAGCGUGGGGAGCGAACAGG